RNAcentral lists this ribosomal RNA (484 nucleotides) under uncultured bacterium. RNAcentral describes it as "partial 16S ribosomal RNA". It matches the Rfam family "Bacterial small subunit ribosomal RNA", at positions 30 to 507 of the family's 1533-position model. The record is from RNAcentral.
AUUGAACGCUGGCGGCAGGCCUAACACAUGCCAGUCGAGCGGAUGAAGGGAGCUUGCUCCUGGAUUCAGCGGCGGACGGGUGAGUAAUGCCUAGGAAUCUGCCUGGUAGUGGGGGAUAACGUCCGGAAACGGGCGCUAAUACCGCAUACGUCCUGAGGGAGAAAGUGGGGGAUCUUCGGACCUCACGCUAUCAGAUGAGCCUAGGUCGGAUUAGCUAGUUGGUGGGGUAAAGGCCUACCAAGGCGACGAUCCGUAACUGGUCUGAGAGGAUGAUCAGUCACACUGGAACUGAGACACGGUCCAGACUCCUACAGGAGGAAGCAGUGGGGAAUAUUGGACAAUGGGCGAAAGCCUGAUCCAGCCAUGCCGCGUGUGUGAAGAAGGUCUUCGGAUUGUAAAGCACUUUAAGUUGGGAGGAAGGGCAGUAAGUUAAUACCUUGCUGUUUUGACGUUACCAACAGAAUAAGCACCGGCUAACUUCGUG